GGACGAACGCUGGCGGCGUGCCUAAUACAUGCAAGUCGAACGGUCUUUCUAUGGAAGCUUGCUUCCACUGAGAAGAUAGUGGCGAACGGGUGAGUAACACGUGGGUAACCUGCCCAUAAGAGGGGGAUAACAUCCGGAAACGGGUGCUAAUACCGCAUAGUUUUCUUGAUUGCAUGAUUGAGAAAGGAAAGACGGCCUUUGUGCUGUCGCUUAUGGAUGGACCCGCGGCGUAUUAGUUAGUUGGUGAGGUAACGGCUCACCAAGACGAUGAUACGUAGCCGACCUGAGAGGGUGAUCGGCCACAUUGGGACUGAGACACGGCCCAAACUCCUACGGGAGGCAGCAGUAGGGAAUCUUCCGCAAUGGACGAAAGUCUGACGGAGCAACGCCGCGUGAGUGAAGAAAGGUUUUCGGAUCGUAAAACUCUGUUGUCAGAGAAGAACAAGUUGGAGAGUAACUGCUCCAGCCUUGACGGUAUCUGACCAGAAAGCCACGGCUAACUACGUGCCAGCAGCCGC
This 518-nucleotide ribosomal RNA is filed under the name uncultured bacterium. Its description in RNAcentral is "bacterial SSU rRNA". It matches the Rfam family "Bacterial small subunit ribosomal RNA", at positions 27 to 518 of the family's 1533-position model. The record is from RNAcentral.